This is a long non-coding RNA of Ipomoea nil (Japanese morning glory), 255 nucleotides long. RefSeq lists it as uncharacterized. NCBI's taxonomy places the organism in Eukaryota, Viridiplantae, Streptophyta, Magnoliopsida, Solanales, Convolvulaceae. The record is from RefSeq and is a predicted model, not a curated record. The transcript has 3 exons.
AGAAGCCGAAAAUCAUAUGUACAACUGCGCACAAACAAAUGGCCUCUGAAGAAGAUAACCAAACUUUGGUAUGAAAUUGGGUAGGGGCCGCGCGAACGCAGGCCCCCUCUACCACAAAUUAUGACGUAGGCUCCACCUAUAAGGUAGACCUUAGAUUAACACCCUUCCAAAGUGCAAUGGAAGUCAUCAACCUAGGCCAUGGGCCUUGCUGAUCACCCAUUGACCCCGUCCAGGUAAAUCAGAUCGGAAGAACGU